UACGAGGGGUGCAAGCGUUAUUCGGAAUUAUUGGGCGUAAAGGGUGUGUAGGCGGCACAUCAAGUCUGUUGUUAAAUCUCCCAGCCUAACUGGGAAUAUGCGACAGAUACUGAUGAGCUUUGAGGGUGGAAGAGAGGAGUAGAAUUCUCGGAGUAGCGGUAAAAUGCGUAGAUAUCGAGAGGAAUACCAAUGGCGAAGGCAGCUCCUUGGCCCAACUCUGACGCUGAUACACGAAAGCGUGGGUAGCAAACAGG
Molecule: unclassified non-coding RNA, 254 nt
Filed under: uncultured bacterium
Lineage: Bacteria
Description: contains 16S-23S intergenic spacer region
Rfam family: Bacterial small subunit ribosomal RNA
Source: RNAcentral